This 545-nucleotide long non-coding RNA is filed under the name Bos taurus (domestic cattle). Its description in RNAcentral is "long non-coding RNA NONBTAT001573". Lineage: Eukaryota; Metazoa; Chordata; Mammalia; Artiodactyla; Bovidae. The record is from RNAcentral.
AUUGACUUUCAGGGAAGUAGAUUUGCAUCCAGACUCAGGAAGUAGACAGGCCAGUAAUUACGAAGCAAAAAUAAUCUGUAACUUGCGGAAAUUCGAGGUAUGAAUAGUGUUCUAUCUCUCAGAUAGAGGGGUAUUAUCUGGUUGUUGUCUUUCAGUCAGAGAUAAAACACCCUUGGGUAAAUUUAAGGAGGGUGACUUAAAAGACAAUUUCCCUCCAGAAAUUCUGCAGAAAAGAAUUCUCUUAAAAAAAAAAAUAAAGGUGUAGAGGGUUAGGUCGUGGGGUUUUGAGAAUUCAAAAGAGCGAGGAAGAGAAAAAAGGAAACUAUUUCCAGUUACUAGUAGAAACAUCAACCCAGGGGCCAGGUGUGGUGGCUUUUAUAUAAGCAACACUCCUGUCUAUACAAAGCUGGUUGUUUUUGUAACACUGUGAGAGUCAAGUGUGCUUCUGGGUUUCGACCCUGAAGGUAGGUGUGACCCUGACUCCCUUUUGACAGGCCCCCUGUCCCACUCAUCCCAUCUCUUGCCUAUUUUGCUUUCAGUAAAUC